Molecule: ribosomal RNA, 468 nt
Filed under: uncultured bacterium
Lineage: Bacteria
Description: partial 16S ribosomal RNA
Rfam family: Bacterial small subunit ribosomal RNA
Source: RNAcentral
GACGAACGCUGGCGGCGUGCUUAACACAUGCCAGUCGAACGGAAAGGCCCUGCUUUUGUGCGGUGCUCGAGUGGCGAACGGGUGAGUAACACGUGAGUAACCUGCCCUUGACUUUGGGAUAACUUCAGGAAACUGGGGCUAAUCCCGGAUAGGAGCUCUUGCUGCAUGGUGGGGGUUGGUAAGUUUCGGUGGUUGGGGAUGUACUAGCGUCUUAUCAGCUUGUUGGUUGGGUAGUCGCUUACCAAGGCCUUGACGGGUAGCCGGCCUGAGAGGGUGACCGGCCCCAUUGGGACGGGGAUACGGCACAGACUCGUACGGGAGGCAGCAGUGGGGAGUAGUACACAAUGGACGGAAGCAAGAUGCAGCAACGCAGCGUGCGGGAUGACGGCCUUCGGGUUGUAAACCGCUGUCGCCUUUGACGAAGCGUGAGUGACGGUAAUGGGUAAAGAAGCACCGGCUAACUACGUG